Molecule: non-coding RNA, 70 nt
Filed under: Pseudopedinella elastica
Lineage: Eukaryota; Dictyochophyceae; Pedinellales
Source: RNAcentral
CGGUCGGGGGGUUACAUGGAGCGCGCUACCCCCCUCUCUGGCUACACGGAGUUUAACUACGAAAUGACCA